RNAcentral lists this non-coding RNA (103 nucleotides) under Naumovozyma dairenensis CBS 421. RNAcentral's name for it is "Small nucleolar RNA snR80". It matches the Rfam family "Small nucleolar RNA snR80", at positions 74 to 176 of the family's 176-position model. The record is from Rfam by way of RNAcentral. Lineage: Eukaryota; Fungi; Ascomycota; Saccharomycetes; Saccharomycetales; Saccharomycetaceae.
UUAGGUUUCGUGAUGUUACUAAACAAGAAUAACUGACAACUUACUCACCAAGAUAUACUAUUUCCCCUUUAGUUAUAUUGGUCCAUUUUUCAGUGUCAUACAU